GGCCGCGCGGCGGGGCUGGUGACGGGCGGCGCUGACGGCGCCUACGUGUCACCAUGGAAACCAAACAGUAAACAGAGGAUUCGGGCGCUCCUGACGCGGCCUGACCGGACGACCUGCCCUGGAGCAAAGGGUCAGAAGCUGGGGAGGGCCGGGCGGAACCUGGGCCUAGCGCCCCUUCCGGGAGGCCCCUGGGAGUCAGCGCGACCUGUUGCAACCCUGGAGCCAGCAGCGGCAGGCCAUUGUGCUGCCUUCUCUUCAGAUCUGCUGUUUAAACACAGUGUUGUGUGCUACCAGAGUCAGACACUGCAUUCAAAAUGAUCACAGCGAUUCCGAACUAUUACAGACCUUUAAAGUGAAGGCACAUAGCAAAGUCCGUGUGUUGGGAACCAGCUGUUGGUGUAACUGGGAGUUUACUUCCAUGUAGAAUACAUUGCUUUAAAUGGCACUGGGCCAAGUCUGGGGAUCCAUUGGUGAGCUAAACUAGACCUUCUCCCCAUAAGGAAACAACCCCUUCCGAUCCUUAUUCCCGUCCCUGCUAAUAUAAUAUAUUUAUUUAUUCUGUACCAGCAUUGAACGAUGGUGCCCUGGGAUAGUUGUAUUCUUGAGACCAGUGGAAGGCCAUAUCUCGUGGAUAGGGAGCAGAGUCUUUCCCAAAAGGAAGUUGACAUUCCCAGUGUCUAUCAUCCAUGGAAGUUGUUGAAUCGUGAGUCGGGAAAGGAGGACUUGGAAGGAGCCCUUUGGCUGGAAAGAGAGGGAAUUCCUUUCUCCUCUUGAUCCCGUGAGGAGGGUUGGCAGGGAGCUUGGUGGAAUGUCAGCCCUAUGGGGGACCCUACAAUAGGCCUCUGAGAAGCCUGUUACAGAGACUACCUGUGUGCAGGUGCUCUCCCUGGACCUUCAGUGCAGUCUUGUUGAUGCAGCAGCCUGGUCUCAGCUGGGCCAUGGUAACUAGAGGAAGGGUCUGUGUCCAGGCCGAGGUCAAGGCUGUCAAAUGGAAAGCAAUGGUCUGUCUUUAUAGCCAGCAUGAGGCUUACAGGGGCCAUUA
Myotis myotis is the source of this 1042-nucleotide long non-coding RNA. RefSeq lists it as uncharacterized. The transcript is spliced from 3 exons. Lineage: Eukaryota; Metazoa; Chordata; Mammalia; Chiroptera; Vespertilionidae. The record is from RefSeq and is a predicted model, not a curated record.